RNAcentral lists this ribosomal RNA (416 nucleotides) under uncultured Lachnospiraceae bacterium. Its description in RNAcentral is "bacterial SSU rRNA". It matches the Rfam family "Bacterial small subunit ribosomal RNA", at positions 349 to 782 of the family's 1533-position model. The record is from RNAcentral. Lineage: Bacteria; Bacillati; Bacillota; Clostridia; Lachnospirales; Lachnospiraceae.
CAGCAGUGGGGGAUAUUGCACAAUGGGGGGAACCCUGAUGCAGCGACGCCGCGUGGGCGAUGGAGUGCUUCGGCAUGUAAAGCCCUAUCAGCAGGGAAGAAAAUGACGGUACCUGACUAAGAAGCCCCGGCUAAAUACGUGCCAGCAGCCGCGGUAAUACGUAUGGGGCAAGCGUUAUCCGGAUUUACUGGGUGUAAAGGGAGCGUAGGCGGCCUGGCAAGCCUGAUGUGAAAUACCGGGGCCCAACCCCGGGGCUGCAUUGGGAACUGCCAGGCUGGAGUGCCGGAGAGGCAGGCGGAAUUCCUAGUGUAGCGGUGAAAUGCGUAGAUAUUAGGAGGAACACCAGUGGCGAAGGCGGCCUGCUGGACGGUGACUGACGCUGAGGCUCGAAAGCGUGGGGAGCAAACAGGAUUAGA